CCGGCCGCUGGCUGCCCGGAGCCGGCCUGUCUCCUUCCGUCCCUCAUGGCUGCUCCCUCGUUGUCAGCUCCCGGCUCGGCCAUCAGUGUUUGCCGGUGGAAAAAACCUGAAUUAUCCUGUUGGUUGUUCCAUGGAGGAGAAGAGUUGGAAUGGAAUAAUGGAAUAAUGGAGUGACUCAGGUGGGAGCAGGGAGCAGCAGUUCCUGAUGACAUCAGGGUACAGCUGGAGCCAGGGGAUAGGAGAUCUUUCCUAAAGGAUGGAGCAGUUGCAGUUUUUAUGGAAUUAUUGCCAUGGAUUUCCCACCUCCAUCAUUUCAAACCAGGAUGGAUUUAGGGAAUUUCAUCCUCCUGCAGGAGCAAAACUGGGUUUCUCCAAAACUGGUGUUUUCUCCCAAAUGGGUACAUUCUCCCAAAAUGGAUAUUCCAGUUCUCACGUGCCAGGAUGGAGCAAUUGCAGUUUUUAUGGAAUUAUUGCCACAGCA
Melospiza melodia melodia is the source of this 481-nucleotide long non-coding RNA. RefSeq lists it as uncharacterized. NCBI's taxonomy places the organism in Eukaryota, Metazoa, Chordata, Aves, Passeriformes, Passerellidae. The transcript is spliced from 4 exons. The record is from RefSeq and is a predicted model, not a curated record.